CUUUUAUCCCGGCCAACCAAGUUUUUGUUUCUACCAAAUUUUUAAAUGAUUUUUGCAUUGCCACUGCUUUGUGUGACUGUCCGUUAUCAGAUUCAGGUUUUCCGGCACGCGAUUCUCGUUGCUCGCUCGUUCUGUUCUGAUGGUAAUGCAGAGUUUCUGAAAGGUCAACCGGAUACAAAUGAUGCUGGAGCUGAUCCGAAAGCUUAUACUGGAAUGGAAGUGAAAAAAACAAAGCAGACGGCAGCGCAUCAGCCCCGAUUCAAACAUCAACAAUUUAUCUAAGCGGCUUGUUGGCAUGGAUGCGGAACAAGAACGAGCUCCCCUAGGCCAACGUCAAAUGUAGGAUUGUGUUUCGUUGGGAAUCAUUCUGGAUUUGUGAACCGUCAAAGAUUUCCAUUGGAAUCCUUCGCCCUCGCCUUCGCCGUUAUUUUGGUUGAUGAUUCACCACAACGUAAAGCCAACAGGUAAGUGCGAUUGAAGAAGUAUAAAAUAAUUGCUGAUAAAUAUUACUUUGCAGCUUUCUGGACAAACCCGUCGUUUAAAAACACUUCAACUGCGGCAUUAAUCGUUUCAUAUUGCGACCAAAUUGGCUCUCUUGCACGGUGUAAUACGGAAAUCAGGAGGUGGCAGAAGCAUCCCUACUUAAGACUAUUCCGUGAUGUCAAAUUCAACGUGUAUUCGACGAGUCAGUGGCAUCGGUUUGGAAAACAUAUGUUCAGCGUGCGACGAUGUAAAAAUAAACUCGAGAUGCAGCAGGAGCAAAUCAUCAUUAGCAAGACCAAGCAGUUUGCGGACCAGGCCCAUCAGUAGCAAUCAAUUGCAUCGCUUCUAAACCGAGAUUUUCGGGUCCGCAACCGGCGUUGGGUCAGCCGGAGCCGAUGAGGAUGCCGAAGGUAAUGGCAACGGUACGUAGAGAAAAUUUCCUAGAUUCAGGCGAUCCGAAGGCGUUUCAAUCGGAAAUUGUAUUCGAGUCAUUAGCCGGCGUUUACGGCGGAGGAUCGAUCGGAUCACUGCAUAAGAAAUGUUAUUCGAGAGAGUACAAGUCUACAGUGACGUCGUACGAAGCCCGGGGAAGCUCUCAUCAAAUGCACUAAGCAAAGGUGAUCAAACAAUACUAGAAAAGUUUGGCGGAUUAGGAGGCUUCGUAGGCGAUCCAGUUCCGUUCUAGGAAAGGCUUGAAACUGCCGGUGAGUUGAAUUCAAAAUUGUGCAAAAAUAAGGACAAAAAUGAGCGAUUAAUUUUAUUUUGUUUGGGACACGACGCACGAGAUUUCAAAAGAAAUUGUUUAAGGGAAUCUACAGAGAUCCCUUAGGGAUUUCUAGAAUUUUUCAAGGGAUUUCGACAAUAAUACUUUUGAGAUUCCAAAAAGAAUUUUUUAGGGAUUUAAAACAGUGCGGUAAGACGCGCGGCUACAAAGCAAGACCAUGCUGAGGGUGGCUGGGUUCGAUUCCCGGUGCCGGUCUAGGCAAUUUUCGGAUUGGGCAUAAAAGUAUCAUCGUGCUAGCCUCAUGAUAUACGAAUGCAAAAAUGGUAACCUGGCUUAGAAACCUCGCAGUUAAUAACUGUGGAAGUGCUUAAUGAACACUAAGCUGCGAGGCGGCUCUGUCCCAGUGC
Molecule: long non-coding RNA, 1614 nt
Organism: Armigeres subalbatus
Lineage: Eukaryota; Metazoa; Arthropoda; Insecta; Diptera; Culicidae
Exons: 3
Source: RefSeq, a predicted model, not a curated record